UUCAUAUUUGACAGGCGAUUUCUGUAAUGGCUAAGUCUGGUUUUGCUGAGCUAAUUGAUUUUAAUCCCAUCCGUGCAAAUGAUGUGCAAUUACCAGCAGGUGGUACUUUUAUCAUUGCACAUUCGCUUGCAGAAUCCCAGAAAGCAGUAACUGCUGCAACAAACUACAAUAACCGUGUUGUUGAAUGCCGCCUGGCAGCUAUUGUUCUUGCUAUAAAGCUUGGAAAAAAUC
Dendrobium catenatum is the source of this 231-nucleotide long non-coding RNA. RefSeq lists it as uncharacterized. Lineage: Eukaryota; Viridiplantae; Streptophyta; Magnoliopsida; Asparagales; Orchidaceae. The transcript has 2 exons. The record is from RefSeq and is a predicted model, not a curated record.